This 253-nucleotide ribosomal RNA is filed under the name uncultured bacterium. Its description in RNAcentral is "partial 16S ribosomal RNA". It matches the Rfam family "Bacterial small subunit ribosomal RNA", at positions 524 to 776 of the family's 1533-position model. The record is from RNAcentral.
UACGUAGGGUGCAAGCGUUGUCCGGAAUUAUUGGGCGUAAAGAGCUCGUAGGCGGUUUGUCACGUCUGCUGUGAAAACUCGGGGCGUAACCCCGGGCCUGCAGUGGGUACGGGCAGACUAGAGCGCGGUAGGGGAGACUGGAAUUCCUGGUGUAGCGGUGAAAUGCGCAGAUAUCAGGAGGAACACCGGUGGCGAAGGCGGAUCUCUGGGCCAUUACUGACGCUGAGGAGCGAAAGCGUGGGGAGCGAACAGG